This 271-nucleotide ribosomal RNA is filed under the name uncultured bacterium. RNAcentral's name for it is "partial 16S ribosomal RNA". It matches the Rfam family "Bacterial small subunit ribosomal RNA", at positions 123 to 406 of the family's 1533-position model. The record is from RNAcentral.
GAUUUAUCGUUGGGUGGUGGAUAACCGCGGGAAACUGCGGCUAAUACAGCAUGACGCCUGUGGGCCAAAGGUCGCAAGACUGCCUGACGAGGAGCCUGCGUCCGAUUAGCUAGUUGGUUGGGUAAUGGCUGACCAAGGCUGUGAUCGGUAGCUGGUCUGAGAGGAUGAUCAGCCACACUGGGACUGAGACACGGCCCAGACUCCUACGGGAGGCAGCAGUGGGGAAUAUUGGACAAUGGGCGCAAGCCUGAUCCAGCAAUGCCGCGUGGAU